AGUAAAAUGGCUGAGUUAGGUAUUAAAUUGUAAAUUUAAUUAUGGAUUUUAUCCUUUUACU
This 61-nucleotide transfer RNA is filed under the name Elateroidea sp. 2 KM-2017. RNAcentral describes it as "tRNA-Tyr". Lineage: Eukaryota; Metazoa; Arthropoda; Insecta; Coleoptera. The record is from RNAcentral.